GUUGGAUAGUUGUCUCAUUAGCCAUCCUAUCUCAUCUCCUCGAGAUUUUUAGAAACUUGAAAUUUGAAGUCCGACCUUUUUACCUGCAUUUUGUUGUGUGGUUGGUAGGACUACUGAUUCAUGAGAAGUUGUUGUACGUGAGCAUUUAUGGUUGGUAUGACCACAAAUUCAGGUUAAGUUGUUGAACAUUAAAGUUUAUGGUGUGGAGGACAUGGGAACAGUAUAUGUUCCUGGUAGGACUACUGAUCCAGGUAAAGUUAGUGUACGUUAAGUUUUAUGAUUGGUAGGACUACAGAUUCAAAUGAAGUUGGUGUCCGUUUAAGUUUUAUGGUUGAUACACAUGUAGGACUACUGAUUCCGGUGAAGUUGGUGUACGUUAAGUGUUGUGGUUGGUAGGACUACUAAUAUACAGGAGCAGUU
This 420-nucleotide long non-coding RNA is filed under the name Mytilus galloprovincialis (Mediterranean mussel). The record is from RNAcentral. Lineage: Eukaryota; Metazoa; Mollusca; Bivalvia; Mytilida; Mytilidae.